This is a long non-coding RNA of Chinchilla lanigera (long-tailed chinchilla), 2269 nucleotides long. NCBI's taxonomy places the organism in Eukaryota, Metazoa, Chordata, Mammalia, Rodentia, Chinchillidae. The record is from Ensembl.
GCUGACCUCAGAGCAGGGAGGAUCUUGCUGGCUUUGCUCCAUCUACCCCCAUGGGGGGCACAGGUUCAGCUCACGGGGUGGCAGCUUCUGAACCACUCACUUACAACGCUCCUGAAUACCACUAACUAAUAAGCCAGGCACCCGGCUUACACUGGUGCACGACAUUCCUCAUGCAGAAGACCCGCUUUUUGAACUGCUCUUUGCUACCCAGCAUUUACUUUUCUCGCUCCUCUAAUCAUCCUGGGUCAAGGACCUAAGCAGAGUUAUUCCUCUAGACAUAAAGUUAGAAAACUGGUGAGUGGUACUGGGACUCACCAGAUGACAGAGCGCACACAUGAGUCUGGGCACGGCUCAGAGGGCAUCUCCAAGCCCCAGAUCAGGGUUCCAGUUAUUAGAUCUACCUUCAGCUUGUUCUCUCCUGAAUUUUCUAUCUUCAUAUUUUCCAAAACAUUUUCUCCAUUCUGUGUUACAAACAACAUUUAAAUGUUCGAAUAAUUGAGAAAUUGUUUUCCAUUUUUGCUUGUACAUCUGAUGUACAUCUGGAUGGGUGGCACUGGGCACACUUAAAAUAAAGGGAAAUAAAUAGCUCUGAGAUGCAACAGCAGAUGCAUUUGCUCAAAAGCGAACGGCAAAGAUCUGCACUUCAUUUUUACAGUAUUUCAUCAGACAUAUGGUACGCCAGGCUAGGUGAUUUUUAUUUAAAAAGUCACUUGUGCUGAAUUCAGAAUUUAAAGGCAUACACAGACAGUCAUUCUGCUCCCCGUGGGCACAAGGGCAUUCUUAUUCCUGGGGAUGUCAUUACUGAUGAUCGCAAGGCGAACUGAAGUUUUCAGAGGGAGUGCCAGUUUCCAACGUGAAGCUCAGCCAUGCGAGGAGAAAACCAGAGGUUCCAGCUGUCUCCGUUUAAGGCUCAAUCCUCAAAGCUUCGGGCUGCAGUUCUGGCCUCCUCAACAGAUCGGCAGGUAUUCAAGCGAGCUCGUUUCACGGAAGCAAGAUGGCAGGCACUGGCACCACAGCCAGAAGAAACUGAAGAUGGUGACGUCAUGGUACCUGAAUCACCGAUCAGCAAGCCAUCCAAUGGAGGAUGAUGAUCUACCUCUCUUGAUCUCACAGUCAAGAGUUUUCCAUCUCCACGAUAACUCAACUUCAGUUCAACCCCAGUACAGGCUGGCUGAGCACCACUAGGAACAGGUCAACCCCCUCACACAGACCAAGAAAGAACAAAAAAGCCUAGCUGGAUGUCCUUAACCUCCUCUGACUCCCAUUUUCAACUGGAAGCUUUGGUCCCCUUGACAUCUGAGCAACAUAGAAGCCACUACAACUUCAAAGUCCUUCCCUGUCAUCUCCAAUCUGAAGGGAGUCCAUAAUCUGAAGGAAACCCUCUGGUUGGGUAGACUUGAAUUCAUUUCCGUCAAUUUAUAGUUCACUUUUGGAAACCAGAGGAGGCCAAAUCCUAGGAGACCUGGCUCCUCAGGGUUCCACAGAGUGGUCCAUUUAUUUCUGGUUGCAAAUGGAGAGGCAUAGAUCUUCCCUACCCCCUCAGCAGUGGGGCCUUUUGUAAUUACGCUCACUCUCUUAUCAAGCUGUUCUGACUGCUCAUGUAUAUGGAUGGCCCUUGUUCCAGUGUCCAAGUAGCAUCGUACAACAUUCAGAACUUCUCGGCCUGGCUCCUUGUUCUAUAAUUUUUUGAAAAAUCACAGAGGGAAGGAAGCAGAGGAGAGGUUUAAUUUGGAAGUCAAGUUGCGCUCCUUUCACGGACUAUACGGCAAAUAGUUACUUCAGUAGUGUGGGUCUUGCUGAAAACUCUUGAACCAUAAACACUGUGCACUGUUUCUCCUCAGUCUCUCUUUCUAGCCUAUACCAACUACUACUAUCACACUGACUGGAGACUUUGCCAGGGUCAGAGGUUCUCAAGGUUUAAGAUUAAUCAGAAUCACCAGGGGAAAAUGUUAGCAAUGCUGAUUUCCAGGUCUUGUGCUCUAGGACUUGAUUUGGGAGAUACAAGAUUUAGGAGAUAGAAGAAAUCUAAAUUUUUAGCUACAGAUCAAUUGGUUCUGAAGCAGGAAGGCUAAGGUACAUUGGCUCACUGGCCCAGGUCAAAGCUGACACUUUCUAAAUCCAUUUUUAACAUUGGCAGGUGGAUUUUUUCUUUUGUUUCAUACCAAACAUUCAAGAUUAAAUGCUGUCUCCCAGCCUUUAAAAUAUCUUAAUACCUUGUUGAGGUAAACAGUAUGUUUUUGAUUUGUAGAAUUGUUCUUCUUCAAUUCAG